RNAcentral lists this transfer RNA (88 nucleotides) under Streptomyces filamentosus. Its description in RNAcentral is "tRNA-Arg". Lineage: Bacteria; Bacillati; Actinomycetota; Actinomycetes; Kitasatosporales; Streptomycetaceae. The record is from RNAcentral.
GUCGCGCUGGCUGAUGGAGCGGCGGCCGUUCUCGAGACGGCUGAUCUUGGACUGGGAGACGAGGAGGCGCUCGGCCACCUGCUCGGCC